CCUACGGGGGGCAGCAGUGAGGAAUAUUGGUCAAUGGGCGCGAGCCUGAACCAGCCAAGUCGCGUGAGUGAAGAAGUAUUUCGGUAUGUAAAGCUCUAUCAGCAGGGAAGAAAAUGACGGUACCUGACUAAGAAGCCCCGGCUAACUACGUGCCAGCAGCCGCGGUAAUACGGAGGGGGCAAGCGUUAUCCGGAUUUACUGGGUGUAAAGGGAGCGUAGACGGUGCAGCAAGUCUGAUGUGAAAGGUCGGGGCCCAACCCCGGGACUGCAUUGGAAACUGUUGAACUGGAGUACAGGAGAGGUAAGCGGAAUUCCUAGUGUAGCGGUGAAAUGCGUAGAUAUUAGGAGGAACACCAGUGGCGAAGGCGGCUUACUGGACUGUAACUGACGUUGAGGCUCGAAAGCGUGGGGAGCAAACAGGAUUAGAUACCCGGGUAGUC
This 440-nucleotide ribosomal RNA is filed under the name uncultured bacterium. RNAcentral describes it as "partial 16S ribosomal RNA". It matches the Rfam family "Bacterial small subunit ribosomal RNA", at positions 338 to 795 of the family's 1533-position model. The record is from RNAcentral.